GAUGAAGAACGUAGCGAAAUGCGAUAAGUAAUGUGAAUUGCAGAAUUCAGUGAAUCAUCGAAUCUUUGAACGCACCUUGCACCCUUUGGCAUUCUGAAGGGUAUGCUCGUUUGAGUGUCAUUGUACUCUCACACUCCCGAUCUUUGCAUUGGGAGCAGUGGACUUGGGUUUGCUGCUUCACCGUCUCUUACCUCAAAUAGGUUAGUGCAACUCUUGGUUGGACAUAGUACGGCGUGAUAAGUGUUCUUCGCCGGUGCCUCGCAAAGAGGGUGGCCGAUCGGGAUGUUGUGCUCCAAACCGUCUUCGGACAAUCUCUGACGACUUGACCUCAAAUCGAGUAAGACUACCCGCUGAACUUAAGCAUAUCAAUAAGCGGAGGA
This 380-nucleotide unclassified non-coding RNA is filed under the name soil metagenome. RNAcentral describes it as "partial contains 5.8S ribosomal RNA, internal transcribed spacer 2, and large subunit ribosomal RNA". The stretch from base 1 to 120 matches the Rfam family "5.8S ribosomal RNA", at positions 35 to 154 of the family's 154-position model. The record is from RNAcentral.